UAUUUCCUCAUACUUUACUUUCAAGUCGGCGACUUCGCCAAUACUUUUCUUCUUUCACGAGUUCGUACGGGUUGCCAGGGCUGCAUCGACACGAUCUACGGCCUAUUCUGUAAGUUCCGUUUAUCGAGUAAUAUCUAAGCUUUAACUUCGGGCGCAUCACUGUCGUUUCGUUUAGAUUUAUUCACCAAUUAUCGAUAUUUACUAGAAUUCUAGAUUUUACCUGUUGUUCUAGUUUUAUCACCAGUUAUCCAGCUUGAGAUUAGAACUUUCGGCUUGAUUAUCAUUAUUUUCAUC
Molecule: long non-coding RNA, 294 nt
Filed under: Setaria viridis
Lineage: Eukaryota; Viridiplantae; Streptophyta; Magnoliopsida; Poales; Poaceae
Description: long non-coding RNA (SVIR_LNC010832)
Source: RNAcentral